CCACUUCCGCUUAGCAUACGCAUUUGCAUUCGAAUCAUACCAAAUUUCAUUUCGAUCUAACAAGAUCUAGGUUUGUAGGCAGACCAGAGUUUGCUUUUUUGGUCACAUCUCCCCAAGCAAACCGGACUUUCUACAUAGAUUAAAUCGGACUGAACAUGGCUGGUGUGAAUGCAACCUAAAUUUAAUUUGAUAAAGUCCAGUAUCAUGGAUCUGGAGCUUAUUUAUGACACCAGGAUACUCAGACUUCUCCUCUAUCCCAACAACAACAUCAACGUUUCUUUAAGUUUGUGGGCCUGCUAUAUUGUAUGUAUAACUGCUGCUGAAUGCCUUGUGAUGUGGCUACUGCAUGAAAAACCAAGAAAACUAAGAAGCAGGGAGAAUAUUUUCCCCUCCAGGAUUCAGUUUCACGAGUGGACAGAUGCUGUGAAAAUCCGGUCCGUCACAGACGCAACAGAUUUUACAACCAGCACAUGGUACAGUGAACAGGCUGUUUUGCAGAUGGAGGAGGAAGUUUAAUCUGAUCCGACAGCGCUGUCUUUAAGUGGCUCUAAGCCCAAAAGCUACUGACAGUCACUGACACUAGUGAUUCAGCUGGAGGAUGCAAAAAAGUUGGAUGUAAACACCACCUGUGACUGGAGAGCCACGAAAAGAUCCUCCUGACUCCCAGGAUCAUCAACACUUCUGGACUGCCAGUCAAAUAAUCGCUGAGAGGCACAAAUCUGACUUGAUAUGAAAACAAAAAGGGUUGUUUUUUAAUUCUCAGCAUCCUGGGCUG
Long non-coding RNA from Gambusia affinis (western mosquitofish), 775 nucleotides. RefSeq lists it as uncharacterized. The record is from RefSeq and is a predicted model, not a curated record. NCBI's taxonomy places the organism in Eukaryota, Metazoa, Chordata, Actinopteri, Cyprinodontiformes, Poeciliidae. The transcript has 3 exons.